Molecule: long non-coding RNA, 4471 nt
Organism: Gavialis gangeticus (Gharial)
Lineage: Eukaryota; Metazoa; Chordata; Crocodylia; Gavialidae
Exons: 2
Source: RefSeq, a predicted model, not a curated record
CCCCUUCGUGCCCUUGUCCCCUGUCUUCUUCGUGCCCCCUGUCCUCUUGUUCCCUUUUUGCCCCUUGUCGUCCUCUUGCCCCCCCAUCCUCUUGUCUCGCCCCAAGGUUUGCAGGGCUCUGGUGCCCCCCAUGCACACUCCUCCUCCGUUUGCACAAAGCUGGGAUGGAGGUGCUGAGGGCUGGCACAGUGCGGGCAGGAGAAAGCACCCGGCCCUGCACGGUUGGGUGUGCGAGGUUCAAGCUUCCUUGCUCUGGAGACGUGCAGGGAAGAGCAGGCUGGGGAUCUGCUGAUCAAUCUGCCCCCUAUAAAAAAAAAAAAAUGACCACAAGUAAAGGGGAAGGCGGGCGAUGAAGAGAAAUGAAAAGAAAGCUGGCCUUUUCAUGCAGAAGGGGCAGCUGCAGCAGCCAGACCCUUUCCUUUCCUGUUCAGGAGCACACCCACCUGUUAUGUCAUGAUUAGGGCAUACAAAAAAUAAGUAUGCCUGGUUUUUUUAUUCCCUGACUUCUUCCCUGUCCCAUUUCCAUGCACAGCAUGUGCUGCUCUGCUUGGAGAACCUUAUCUUGCAAAGGGGCUGCCUCACUGAAGUCCUGUUCCUUUCUUUCCUUUAAUUAUUUUUGUGCAAGUGUUUGAAGUCUCAUUGGCAGCUUAUUUACUGGUUACAAUCUGUAGAGAGACUGAGUCUGGCUUCCUGUUUAUCCUUUUACGGCGUCGUUUGUCAAAUAGUAAAGAUGUUCUCUGCUUAUUUUCCUAAUCAAAAUGAUUGUGCAUAUUUGCACUUUCCAACAAAGUCACAGUAGCUCUGUAAGACUGUUCUUUGUGGAGAUUGGUAUGAAAUGCCGGGGAGGCAUUUGGUAACGAGUACUUGUUGUUUAUUAUUAUUAUUAUUAUUAUUAUAUGACAUAAAAUUUCUGGCUGGACAAAAUAAGGCAGAAUCGGGCACAUGUUUUCUGCCUGCAUCUCAUCUUAUUUUGAGCAAUGGAGCAGAGACCAGAGCCUGCAUUCACCUCCCUGGUUAGUUUGACAUCCACUGGACCGCUGGUGUCUAAUGUGAAGCAUAUAGGUUGCCUGAUCUGGGGAUGGAGGAUGAAACAAAUGUGGUAUCAACAGUAGCAUUUCCUUUCCAGCAGUCCCCACAAGUUAAAGUGGAUUUCAUAGCAGCUAACUUGUUAACUCUAGUGGAUAACUCGAUCAACUCCUUUCAGGCUAGCCUGGCUGGGGGCUGCUGCUGCUAAACGGUGAGCUGCAAGUUUUAAAGCAGCGCUUAAUUCAGAGAUGAGGAUAACACCUGAGUUUAUAGCUUCAUCUCGUGUUCUCCUCAAGACAAGCCCUUAGUUAAAACAUUACGAGAGGCAAAGGACCCCCAAUGAACAGGCAGGAAACGUCCAUUUUUGCUUAUUGUCACUUACUGGAUUAUUUUGCUUUUGUUCUUGUUUGGGGAGCAUCUCUGGCUGGGUUCAAUGUUUUGAAAGGCUGCUUCUUCUGUUGAAUAGGAUCACACACGCUCGGGCGGCUGCUGUGGAGCUGUUCCAGUUGAUCAGAGUCCCACAGAUGGAUGUACAUCUUCCCUGGUGUAACGUGGUGGGAUGGAUUUGGUCCAUAAUUAACAGGUCUCUGCAUGUGAGCCAUGUGUUAUCUAGGAGACAGUAUGGGUACACAGCCAAAUAGAUGAGAUGGGCUCAGGUCUGUUCUCAUUUUCCUUUAAGUUUGCAAGUUUGUUUGAAGCAGGAACAAGUCUUUUGCUCUGCUUUGACUGGCUUCUUUGCUUACUGGGGUCUUGGUCAAUUGACUAGAGUGCCUAGGCUUUCUGAUAUAGAAAUCAUUAAUGCUUAAUCUGAAGUCUUAUUUUUUUUUUGUUCAAGGAAGAUCAAGGUUUAUCCAGAGUUUGAAAUGGAAGAAGCAACUUAAGAUGCACCAGACGAGUAAUAGAAAAUCCUGUCCCAAGUAGACUAUGGAGGAUUUGCACCCAGGCCAGUGAAGGGGAGUAGCUAAAAUGCUAUAUAGUCGAGCUGACCAGUGACAGGUGCAUGGUAAUACAAGGAAGGAUGGGGGUGGUAUUUUGGGGUAAGGAAAACCAAAGCUGUGCACAUUACAGUUAAAGUAGCCUUUAUGUAAAGCAUUAAAAAAAAAAAAUUAAAAAGCCCCAUAUUCAAAUGUUUGCAGGUAAUGGAUUUGUAAAUUAUUUUGUAAAUUAUUCUGCUUUUGUCUGUUGUAGAAGAAUUUAAAUAAAUAGUUCACAUCAUGAAGAUUUGGGGGCCAAGUGCAUAUUCUCAACUUGCAGUGAAAACUGUGGUGGAAAUUCUGUGUACUCCAGCAAAAUAGUGAUACCUUGAGGUCUGAGGUACUUCUGUGGAAGUAGUUCAUAAAGAACAUAUAUCUGUAAUUAUGAGCAGUGCUACUGGUCAUCACUCGAAUCUGGUUUUCUCCAAUGCAUUGGAAAAUAUGUAUUAUAGCAAACUUCUGUACCACAACCUCAGACUUUUGCAAAUGUGCCUCCAGUGAUUUAGACCAUAUUAUACAGUAGGCACUUGGCAAAUGUUUUUUAUGCCAUUUUUAGUUAUAAAGGCGAAAAUAAAAAGGAUACAGUAACCCUCAAUGAGGUGUAUACUUUUAUAACUUCAUAAUGUUCAGAGUGUUUGGGGGGGAAAAAUGGCUGAAAAUACACCCUUGCCUGAGAACUUAUAUUGCCAGAUUUCAGUGUAGAGCAUGUCUUUAUUAACCAAGCAAUACCUCCUUGAAAUGAGGGGUUUAUUAUGGAAAGGCUGACAGACCCUUAAUUAACACAUCCUGAAUGGCAGUUACAAUAGCCCAUAAGCUAAAUAGUGGCAUGCACAGUCCUUAAGCCUUGCUUGGUAGAGUUGGGCAGACUUAGCUAAUUCGAAGGUCUAUUAUGUGUUAGUAUUUUUCUUCUCAUCUGUUCCAGUCUGCUUUUAAAGUUGUGUUAAAUGUAAGUGAUCACAUUUUGGGGCUGGGGCUGUAUUUUCUGGUUUGCCCAUUUUAGCUUUUGGAGUCUCUUUUGGAGUCUCAUUUGUCUAUCAUGCCAGAUUGAGAAGGCUAAGGUGGGCAUGUCCACGUGGCAUUGGACAGAGCUAGAGCUCAGCACUGUGAAAAUACCUUCCUGCCCAUUCCCCCCUGCUCCAUACAUGUCAGUAAAGUUUCUGGCUUAUGCCCAGGGCCUCAGACUUGGGGGUCUAAGGUUGAGCCAAGUUCCACUCUAAUGGCAGCAAUAUGAUCUCUUUUUGGAACGCAGCAUGCAAUGCAGUGCCGGCAAAUGGGCAUUUUUCGGAGUCUGACCUAGUGCAGAUGGACCCUUAUUGUUCUAAUAUAUCUUUUCUAUGUAAAGUGGAGUUGUCUCUUCAUUACAGUAUUAUGAAUGCAUUCUGCUUGUACACAAGAGAUGAUACAUUGCAUAUGUUGAUGGAAAGAUGCCAACAGACUAUAGAAACAAUCUUAUUCUGUUGAAACAUGUAUGUUUCAUGCCUUGAUAGUUUUUCAGGGUGGUCCAAUUAAGGUAAAUGCUCCUGGCAUCUUUUCCAUUAAUACUUGUCUUCACCACCAUCCAUCAUCCUGUUUCUUCAGCUGGUUGUCUAAGAGCUUCUGCCCAUCUGGACCCUGAAGCAUGAAGAUAGCAAGCAACUCCCAGUGUCUCCAAGGGAAAUGUCUUUCUAUCCAGUCCUCUACUGAAACUGCAGGUAAGCAUGCAUCAUUGUUGCCUACGCUGGUUGUGGGAAAUGUAGAGCUCUUUCCAUCCAGUCCUAUACCGAAAAUGCAGAUAAGCAUAUGUCACUGGCACAACCAAUGUAGGGAACAUGGAAGUAUUUUUGUUUAAAUGUAGCAUAUAGUUAAGUCUUGUGAUCAAGAUUAUUGUUUGUAAAGCACGUGAAAAAAAAUGUCCCUACCAUUAAUGCUGGAGGUGGACAAUGGAAACUGAAAAUUAAAAUGGGUUGUAGGGGAGCAUGGAAGGAAAGAAGGCCCAAGAAAAUGAAAGAAACGUUGAGUUUGUGGUUAACAUAUAGGACUGAAUCAGGAGAUCUGCUUUCAACUUCUGGUUUUGCUAUAGAUUUUGUGGGUAAAUACUGCAGAGAAACACCAUGAAUGUUUCUAUUCUAACCCCGUGUGUUUUGACAAUUUUGUUUUUUGCCUUCAGAUUGCUUUCCACAGUUACUCUAAUAAACGUGCUUGCUGGAAGGAGUGUUUUGCUGAAAUUGCAAAAUUUUUCAGCAAUAUUGCCUUAAAACAGACCAUCAAAUUUAUACACUGGAGUGUGUAUUUUGGCAACUUGAUUUGUUUUGGUUCUUUAGAUCAACCUGAUCACGCAAUUGCAGACCACAUGACCUGUUUGUCCAGUCAAAGACACAGCAGGAAUCUUCAGUCUUGAAGAUUUGCUAACAAUUGCUUGUGAAAUAAUAUGCAGGCCAAGAAUGAUUGAUUGUUUCCAGAAAUCUGAGUUCUGUAUAAAAAUGGAAACAAGC